UUUUGUUUCCUUUCUCUCGAUAUAUCUCAGACAAACACCCAAAUUUGGCAUUCUUAUGUAUGAAAAGUUCCAGAUAGGGGUUUAUUAAUGACCUGCAGACCGUGUUUAAUUUCAAAGAUGAAUUUACUUUGACUUGUCAAACAUCAGCAAGUGUGACAGGUAAUAAGUUAGAACACCAGAAAAUAUGACAGCGCAUUAAUUACGUAACAAGAAAAAAUAGAAAAAAAACACAUAAGUAUUCAAAAGUGCCAGGAUUGCUUCUGAUAUGUAUGUCUUGCUCAAACACACUUAAAUUUCAACUGUAGAAGCUGGGUUCACAUCUCAGGCAACAGGAUUUUUCUUUCCCUCUGAGGUUACUGAUAAAUCAAAGAUGGAAAGCUACUUGCACCCUUUUAAGAAUGUUUUAUUCACCUGUAGUGUAAUCCUUUGACUAGUGACAAUUCCAAUAUCCAUGUUCUGGAUUUUUUUUUCCAAUUAUUAUACAAUCCUCCACCCUUUCUUAUUUUUAACUUGAUCAGACUUCUAUCUAGUGGUGGAGAGAGAGAACUGCAUUUCCAGGGUGUAUUAGAUGCAGACCUGCUAGAUCUGAGAUUUGUUGCUUAGCAUUUUAUUGUAUUACAAGUGAUUAAAUUUCUCAGAGACUCUUUAAGUUGUACCUUCAAAACCAGGAGGAGGAGAUGAUAAGUAGCCUAUUCUGUCGAAUAGAUCGAAAGUAGUAAAAUGCUGUGAAGGAAGUAAUUAAGAAAUUCUGAGGAAUAUUCCUCUGGUAGUGAAAAAAAAACUGUUAUUACAUUUAGCUUCUGUAGUUUUUAUCUGAAUGAUUUUGAACUAGACAGACUACUAAAAUUUGGAAAGAAAAUGGUAUUUUUCUAAUGUAGACUUGUCUUCAUUAAACCUUUUUUUGAUCAGCACGUGUUAAUGAAGCAAGUGCAGUAGUUGGGAACUAUUCUGCUUUGGCAGCUGCCCUUCAGCCAGAAGUUGAUUUAGGUAGCUUUUUGAAAUGAGAGGGAAAGCAUACAAGGGUGAAUGGGAUAGCUACACCAGUGCUCUUAAACUAGACGUGCAUUGAUGUUAAUUAUGUAAAAGAAACAUGCUGUGAAUUUCAGUGGCAAGUAGAAACUGUUAAACUGAAGAUAAAUAAGUUUUCUGUGAUGUUUUAUUUAUUCUUUUGUGUGUGUAUGUUUAUGGUUUGGAGGAGAAGCUAAUUUUAGUACCAAAUGAAUCUGUUCCUAAUCCUAAUUUAUUUAAUAUGAGAAAUAAUCUUGUGAAAUCCUUUAAGUGAAUCCUUUAAGCCUGACUGAACUUGUUAUAAUUCUAAAGCAUUAAUGCAUCAAAACAUGUGGCUUUACUUUAGCAAGCAAGCACUAUUGACCAUUUUGACCCAUACCUGGUGUUUUGAUGCACCUGUGUGGUGGGUGUUUAUUUUUUAAAUCAU
Oxyura jamaicensis (ruddy duck) is the source of this 1435-nucleotide long non-coding RNA. RefSeq lists it as uncharacterized. NCBI's taxonomy places the organism in Eukaryota, Metazoa, Chordata, Aves, Anseriformes, Anatidae. The transcript has 3 exons. The record is from RefSeq and is a predicted model, not a curated record.